This is an RNA transcript of Ictalurus punctatus (channel catfish), 3933 nucleotides long. RefSeq lists it as uncharacterized. The transcript is spliced from 14 exons. The record is from RefSeq and is a predicted model, not a curated record. Lineage: Eukaryota; Metazoa; Chordata; Actinopteri; Siluriformes; Ictaluridae.
AGGAAAGCUGAACUGUGCUGGAAAAAGACCAUGGCUCAAACAUUACAGAGCCAGAGUCAUUUUAUCAAUAAGUACAUAGAUCUGCUCACGCAGGAUUCAGAGGAUCUGGACGCCUCAGCCUCUACAUCAGCAGAGCAUAGGUACCUAAGCAUGCUCGUAGUGACGCAGUGUUCUUAAUAAGUCAACUUGUAUUGUAUUCUCAAUAUCCAGUCAGUACAUUUAUGUCAGUAAAUGCAUGCAUCAACACUUCCUUGACUUUGCUGAGCAGUUGUCUGUUCUUUGUCCUAAAAGUUCUUGCAUAUAAUGGUGGUCUUCACAUAACAUAAGUAAAUUCCCAUCCUUAAACUCUUUAUCUUGCAUAUUCAUUUCGAGCAUUUUCUGUUGGGGUAAAUGAGUAGAGAGGAUCCUAGGCCAUUUUUAGCAAUUUCCUGGUGAGUAAAAAAAGAUGAAUCCAUUUAUUCAACAUUAAUUAUUUUAACAAAUUCAGAGGGACCUUAACAUAAAAUUAAGGUUAUAGUGUACUUGUAACCAUCCGUCUCUGCUUGGUACAGCCCCAGUUCAUGUGACGGUGCUCUGGUGUGUGUGGGACCUCGUCGUUGGCGUGCCAGAGGAGGAGAGAGGAGGCAGAUGGAGAUGUGUGUCCUGUGUCACGAAGCGCAGGAGAUCCUACCUGAUGGCACUGCCAUGGUGCUCGCUGCCUUUGUCCAACGCUCUACGGUCAUGUCCAAGAACCGCAAAAGACCCCCUCACAAUCCAGAUACUUUGAGACACUCCAGAGUCAGGAUGCGCAGUGGCUGCAUGAGCAAACCAGUUACGAUGUAGAGAAUGGGGAGUACUUGUGUCCACUCUGUAAGUGUCGCAGUAACACUGUCAUUCCUCUCCUGCCCCUCACUGAGACCACCUGCAGUUACAGCAAUAGUGAGCAGCCAGGUCUGGCUCAUUGGCUGAAUACAACGUGCCAGCAGAUCAGAGCCUUGCACUCUGCUCAUAAGAGAGCCAAGCAACAAAUGAGACUGGUGAGACAGAGACUGUGGAGGACUCUCCUCCUCCUGAGAGUUUCAGGCUGGACCACACACCAGUCAACCCUUAUUCAAGCUCCAUAAGGGAGAUGCUGAUGACAUUUGGGACCGCAACUUAUAAAGUUGGCCUUAAGGUGCACCCUAAUGAGCAGGACCCCCGUGUGCCUAUCAUGUGCUGGGGCAGCUGUUCUUGCACCAUCCAGUCUAUAGAGAGAUUAUUGGUAGAUGAGGAGAAGCCUUGUUUGGAAGUUUACCCUGUAGACAGGUAUGACAACCCAACUUAUUGUCAUAUCUCAGCCCAGCCAGGACUCGGUUUCCCGAGAAGCAACACCCAUUUCUAACAUGGCCGCUGAGGACUACACUUCCCACACACGCAUGCGCUCACUUCCCCGGAGUUCUGAUCUCACACACCUGCAGCCAAUCACCUUGUCCACUCACCACGGCUUAUUAAGAGACUUUGGAUACAGGGACACUUUGUGAAGUAAACAUUCAGUAGACUAGUUUCUCUGUCGUUCUCCAAGCGUUACCUGCUGUGUUUAUUCAAUAAGUGACUUUGACCUUUGCUUAUGUCCCCGACCACGAUUUCUGUCUUGCCCCGUUUGUUUUGUUUGCAUGAUGCCUGACCCUCGCUUGCUUCUUGACUACGGACUGUGUUCACCCCUCUGGAUUAUUCUGCCUGAACCUGCCGCCCGCUUCUGCUUCUGUAUUCCCCACGGUACGUGACACUUAUCAUGCCAGAAUGAAUUCUUCUUUCGAGGGAUGUGUGAAGAUGUAAUAAAUUCUGUAUCAGAGGUAUUGUUAGUACUGUUAAAAUACUCCACUAAGCACUGUUUGCUUGCAGGACGUAGUAGUUAAUUGUACACUGGAAUAAAUUCUUCCGAUGAUUUGAUUUGCUUUUCACUUGUAAUUCUAAAUAUAAAAGCAUAUAUAACUGUGUAUAUAUAAAUGAAAAUAGACUGCAUCUGUCAAAUCAUUACUCAAGCUUCUGAGCAUCAUUCGCACUCUAAAGAUAUCUAGAAGAUUGCUCAAUUAUGUUCGGGGUUCAUUUUGGUAGCAUUACUAAAUAUUCUGAAUCACAAAUAUCUGCGGGUAUUAUGCUCUUCUUCCUCAGUUCUAAUUUCUUCUAUAUCCUGUGAUAUUUAUAUAUAUUCUGUAUCCUGAAUAAUAAAAAAUAGAAGUGUCAUGAAACGUGCCCUUGUUUAGGAGACUAUUUGAGUUCCCUGGCUCAGUUUGGCUCUGCAUGCUGGACUGUCUCCUCUCACUCCUGUGCAAAAUCACUUCAUGUGACUGUUGGCAGAUAUAUUUAUUUCAUUAUUUAUUUUUCUCUCACUUGUAGUUUUUUAGUUCUUUAACUGUGCUCUGUGCAGCACUUGUUCUUGCUCCCCAGAUGGAAAGUUCCCCCUGCAUUCUGGAUGUGGACACGUUCCACUUAGUGGGGAGUCUGGUGCUGUCCUAUUCAGCAUUGCACUGCUUAGACUCCUCAGGGCUUAGUGCGGAUACUGCACACCUGCAUCUCUUCCACUUGGUCAUUGUUUCUCACCUGGUCCAGAUCCUCCUCACCUCUGUGCCAGGUCCUGGGGAAUGGGAAGUGCUGUGUGCAUAUGUGUCUGCCUCCUAAUCUGCUCCAGCUCUAUUAUAAUCACCAGGAGCUUCUGGAUCCCCUGCUUCAGGGGUGGUGCUCACAUCCAGGCAUGCAACAAUGUCUCCAGUCACCUGAAACCCUUAAGUUUUCCUCGGGAAUCCAAUAAGCUAAUUGAUGUGCCAGAGGAUUACUGUGCACUGAUCAACCAGGCUUUCAGCUUCACGUGAGUCUGUCCUAAGUCAGAUGGAGUUAAGUCUUGAGCUCAAACUCUGUGCUUGGUGUGUGGCACGAUGCUGUCUUCUCAGAGCAGCUGCUGCCAGACUGAGCUGGAGGGUGAGGACGUUGAAGCGUGUACUGCACACACCUUUGUUUGCUGAGCUGGUGUUAGCAUCUUCCUCAGGAAGAUGGAAGACACAUCUGUGUUGAUUGCCAUGUCUUAUAGGGUGAGGGAGAAUCAGGUUCUUUUCCUGUACCUCGAUGACUAUGGAGAACUGUCCAAGGGCUCAGAUGGAGGAAUGCGCUACAGAAAGAUUCAGAAGCUCUGGCGCCAGCACAGCAUCACCGAGGAGAUGGGUCAUGCACAGGAAGCUAAUCAGACUCUGGAGGACAUUGACUGGGAGAUCCUGGAUUUUCUUGGCUAAUGCCAAAUCUAAACUAACCAGGGAUCUGCACAUUUACCUAGAAAUGCCUACAGCCAAAAUCCCCAGUACUGACUGAACGCAUCAAAUGCUGAGUUUACUUUUACAGUCUUGAAUUAACACCUCUGCUAACUGCGUCAUCACCUACAGUCCUGAAUUGACAGUUUACUUAACAGCCAUAAUGCUCACUGUUUACAAUACGAAUUAAAGAUUAUGUAAACCCUGGAAUUGUGAAUUAAGCACACCUUUUGGUUAAAAGAUGGGAAAAAAAGAAUUGGUUUAUCACUCGUUGGUUUUGUAAAUAAGGCUUGGUGAAAAUUAGGUUUAAGCUCUGUUUGUGCCACAGGCUAUAUACCCUUCCUCUAAUUUGUUUUCAAUGGAUGUGUACUGUUUUACAAUCUAAGGGCUUUGUUUGCAUCUAUAAUGAUUACACGGAUAAGACAUGUUUACUGUUUGUCACUUUCCCUUUUCUCUCUCUCCUUUUUGGAUAUACCAGUUAAAUAUGUCACAGUUUAGUCAACUGUAACUCUUUUGUUCCUGGUUGUUUGGAAUCAGUUAAUAAACUGUUUUUAAUAUUGUAUUUUGUUCAUUAGAUUCUAACUGGGAUUGUGAGACAUUUUUGCUGCGUUUGUUUCUUUAGUUUGGAGAUUCCCCUUAUGUCUCUCUUAAUCACACACGGACAAAAACCAAAUGU